Molecule: long non-coding RNA, 708 nt
Filed under: Phoenix dactylifera (date palm)
Lineage: Eukaryota; Viridiplantae; Streptophyta; Magnoliopsida; Arecales; Arecaceae
Description: long non-coding RNA (PDAC_LNC007724)
Source: RNAcentral
GAUAGAAGAGAAUUGUAUUUCUGCCUUUCUUUACAAUGUACAUGAGUAGCCUUUUAUAUAGACUAGGAGGCUGACGAAAUUUGGUAAGGCCGACUAAAUUUGGCAUAAUCAAUCACAAAUCAAUCAAGGAGAAGUUUGGUAAGGCCGACUAAGUUUGGCACAAUCAAUCACAAAUCAAUCAUAAUCCUAAUCAAUCAUAUGAUUUUAACAUCCCUCUCAAACUCAAGGUAGUAAAGUAGACACCAACUUGAGUUUGGAAACAAAAGAUCGCAAGAUGCCAAAUGAAUGAGUUUUGGUGAAGACAUCCGCAGCGAAGAUAGAUCUCAGAGAGAAGGCAACCGAAGCUUAACGAUGCUUGUAGACGAAAGCACCAUAGAAGAAGAGCAAGAGACUUGGAAUUGGAUGAUGAAGGAGCUGGAGGUAGCAAAUAAAGCCAGAGAUUGAGGACUGGGGUGAUGCUAUACAGAUGUAUACCUCCAUGAUCGAGAGCGAGAUCGCGCCUGCUAAAUUUACCUGUCCAAUUUCUGACGGUACGGUUUGACGCGCCGCUGCUGGGUUUUGGAACGAGAUCGCGUCUGCCAAAUUUAUCCAUCAAACUUCUGAUGGCAUGGUUUGACGUGUCGCUGUUGGGGUUUGGAACGAGAUCACACCUGCCAAAUUUCUGACGGUACGGUUUAACACGCCGCUACUGGAGUUUGAAAUGAGAUC